GUCUUUUUGAGUUAUUUUUAAAGUCUGACCUGCCCACUGAAUUUUUAAAUGGCCGCAGUAUUCUAACUGUGCAAAGGUAGCAUAAUCAUUAGUCUUUUAAUUGAAGGCUGGUAUGAACGGUUGGACGAAGUAUAAGCUGUUUCAUAUAAAUUUAUAGUAGAAUUUUAUAUUUUAGUCAAAAAGCUAAAAUGUAGUUAAAAGACGAGAAGACCCUAUAAAUCUUUAUAUUUUAUGUAAUUUAAGUUUUUUGGAUUUAUUUUAUUUUUAUUAUAUUAAAUAUUUUGUUGGGGUGAUGUUAAAAUUUGAUUAACUUUUAAUUUUUUAAAAUCAUUAAUUUAUGAGUUAUUGAUCCAUUAGUAGUGAUUAUAAGAUUAAGUUACUUUAGGGAUAACAGCGUAAUUUUUUUGGAGAGUUCUUAUCGAUAAAAAAGUUUGCGACCUCGAUGUUGGAUUAAGAUAUAUUUUUAGGUGUAGCCGCUUAAAUAUUAAGUCUGUUCGACUUUUAAAUUCUU
This 511-nucleotide ribosomal RNA is filed under the name Dacus radmirus. Its description in RNAcentral is "partial 16S ribosomal RNA". The stretch from base 387 to 511 matches the Rfam family "Bacterial large subunit ribosomal RNA", at positions 2473 to 2597 of the family's 2925-position model. The record is from RNAcentral. Lineage: Eukaryota; Metazoa; Arthropoda; Insecta; Diptera; Tephritidae.